Long non-coding RNA from Helicoverpa armigera (cotton bollworm), 4447 nucleotides. RefSeq lists it as uncharacterized. The record is from RefSeq and is a predicted model, not a curated record. NCBI's taxonomy places the organism in Eukaryota, Metazoa, Arthropoda, Insecta, Lepidoptera, Noctuidae. The transcript is spliced from 2 exons.
UCUCUUCGUGAUGUUUUUAAAGAUUGUUGAUCUGAAUUCACAUUCUCGAUUUCCUGCCAUUGAGAGAUUUUUUUAGGUUCAAGUUUAUGUAUAUGUCGGCGCGGAUGAAUAAGGUUAUGAAAACACGUGCGCCGCACGUUGGAAGUGACGUAAUCGCACCACUCUGUGAGUCAGGCGAGGUGGGGACGGACCGGUCAACGUGUAUAUAAUGCUACGCCCGCUGCGGCGGAGCGGACUCGGUGUUCGACCUCUGCUCUGUCAACACCUCUUAAUUGUGACGUUAAUCACACCUGAGUCACCUUAUUUGUUUAAUAUUUAACUCUGUAGUUAAAUUAAUACCUUGUGUUUUUAUUGUUUUCUUUUCAUUUUAUUUAAAUUCUAUUUAUUGAUUUGAUAAUGAAUUAGACGUUUAUUAUUUACUUUUACUUAAUGAAUUUAACGUUAAUUGUAAACCUGAUUGACGCUUCUUAAUUUUGUUUCCAUAAACAAUCAAUUUAUUGUUAGUAGCAAUUACUAUUUGUGUUUCAUCAAUUCACUGGUUUGUGUUUUCGCCAAUCCUUAUUUUAUUCAUAAUUUAUUUGGUUGUGAAGUGAAUAAACUUUUAUGAACCUUUGUUAUAAUGAUGUAUUUUACUUUCAUGCCCAAGGCACAAGAGUCACCCAUUUUGUAACUGAUUUCGGCUGGCGCCGAAAUCAGAAGUGGGAUCACUAGUGGGGCUUCCUCAGCCUCAUCUGCCCAUACUGAAGGAGACAACCACGACGCCGGUGUGAACGAAAUGCUGUCCGCAUUGGCCUAUACCUGCAGGACCAACCAACCAAGCCGUAACUCCAAAGAGGCGACGGCGUUAGAUCGCGGCAGUAAUGUGCCGCGAUCGGCAGCCGAUUGACGUGCAUAUGUGGGUAGAGCGAAAGUUUUUAGGAACUCGCUCAUCGUGAGGUAUGUACAAACUGGAUUUAAAAAUUAAAAAGGCCGACCCAAAGCUCUCGUUAAUUAGUCACCAAUUCAGUUUGACAAGCGAGCAGCGUCAAUGACGACAUGAUCAGGAUUUAAAUGCCACAUAGCGCGACCAGCCGAAUCUAUCACCAGGGCAUAGAAUGUCUGGAGGCGAGUCAUGGAGAUGCUGUGGCGGCGGUCAUCGACUGUUUAAACAAUGAAUUUUUCCGACUGCGCAUUCUAUCUGGGCGUGAUGCUUUUGUGGCAAAAUCGAUUUCUGUAGCAGCCACAACCAAGCAUGUAGAACAAUCGAUGUAGAACGAGAGACUCGACUGGGAUAUAGUACGUGCCGUCGUAGAAGAUCAUGAGAUACCUUUUAGUGUUUUGAUGGGAUCCAGUAUGGAGCGGUGCAUCAGUUAAAAGAUUACUGUUUAGAUAUAACGAUACGUUUGUGAUAUUUCCGAGCGUCAAUUUAACGCAGGAGAUCCCAUUGAAAUUUCUGGCCAAGUAGCUCCAGCAGGCGCCAGAAAAUGGAGAUAAUCGACGGGCUGAUUAUCAAAGGAAUCUUUCAAGAGGGUAAAUCACAUUGUACUGGACGUGUGUGUGCGACGGACUGAAUUAAACAAAUGAGGUACCCAUUAAUUUUUCACUCUCAAGUUUCAGAUCGGACCGACGGAUUGUCGACAACUGCCUUUUGUCAAUUUGGACUUAGUUCAAGGACUUUGCCCAGUACCAAUCAAGAAAGAUUAUCUGCCGCGAACUGCCUUUAGUGUACCUGGCGGCCUUUGUUAGUACUAGAGAAUGUCUCAGCAGUGUCCCGAUGCACAGUAGUGUCUGGCUGCAUUGCCGCAACUUGGCCCACAUGGUCAAGAAAUAUUUUCUUUUGGUUUUUGCAGACUUUGGACAGGGAGAUGGUGGCGUUGUCCCGGUGUUAAGACCGUGAACGCAAGGAAAGGUUUGUUUUUUUUUUCAAACACCAAUCAAAAGUUUGGACGGCUGCAUCUCAAAUGGUGCAGUUCGUCCAAUGUCCUAGGAAAAUGCGAUGUCUUGAAGUUACCAGCAGUGCUCCUGAACGUCAAAAUGGUUCUUUCAGUAUCUUUGGAUUAGCAGGGUACUUUCAAGUGUUUAAUGCUGUUUUAGUGUGAUGCAUACACUCGCAGAGACGUAGUUCGUGUUGGGCUGCUGCGGAGAGCACAGAACGGAGAUGCCGAGUUGUUGGUGUCGGUGCUCUAAUGACAUGGACAAGCUGGAUUGACAGAAGGUAACGCAAGAGCUUCUGCAAUAGCCGCAUACCGAAACAACAACAACCUGCAGACUGUGCGGUGCUGCAGCGACUUCUGGUGCGAGCGGUGUCAGCUGCUCGCCUGCCUCUAGCGAUUGCAUUCUGCUGCUGCAUGCUUCGGGGAUGCCGAGCAGCGGAGCUUUGGAGCAGGGAGUGGAAUGUAAGUCAAAUUUCGAAAUAUUCAGGCACAGUCGAGGAGCAUAACGUGGUAACAAAUAAGCAAACAGUAUUGCGGAUCGAAGUCAACAAAAUUCGGUGCUACACGAAAACUCGAAGCCGAAUACAUCAACAGGUAAUUGGGCGCAGUAGGUGGAAGUAUCAAUGUUCAGCACUACUCUCCCGCUCAGACAGCUUGUAGGAAAUCUGAAGGUGGACUGCGGCCGACGUAUGUAAGUCUGAGCUCGUCAACAGAUAUCAUGACACUAUUUUGUCAUCGUAGGCUUACUGACGGUAUCAGCACUGCUCACUGAAUUGUGGUGGCUGGGAGAUGCCUCUUCUUCAGCAUAAGCAACUGUUUACUGGACGACGGCAUGCUGGUGCAGCGGCGCCAUGGGAGGACGGUGGUGCGUUGCAUCGAACGCUACGAUUUUGAUGCUUAUUGGUCCCGCGUAAGUAGGGGGUUUUUCUCCAGCAGUCGUUUGCCUGUUUCUCACCCUUGCAUCAUUGACAGGUAAUGACCGAGCGUUGCUUAUGUUCAUGCAGAAAUGUCCACAGUGUGUAUUCUUACAGUGGUCACGUGAGAUGGCUCGUAGCCACGUAGCGUAGCAUCCUCAGGUCCUUGAAGUCGUAAUUGGAUGUUGCUGUGUACAAAGCAUCACUCACGACGUUAUGCGCUUUUUCAAUCCAACUUGGGCGACCCGCUUGUGGGAGACCACCGGUUAGUGUAGAAACGAUGGUGGGUGAUUCCUUGUACGCAGUCACUGGUGAACCCACAUUAACUAUUAAAUGAUUUAAGUGCAUAUUGAGCUCGGUUAUAUUCAUACAACUAGCUUCUGCCAGCGACUUCGUCCGCGUUGGAUUUGGACUUGGUGCAAAGAGAGGCUAUCGACAGUUAAACGUGUUAUUGUGAGCCAGCCAUAAGAGACAGACGUGUGCUGUCCGGGUAUAUUUUUUACAUAAUUUUAAGGAGAACAUUUCCGUCAUACAUUGUUUUUGUGUGGCUUUAACCAUUAGGGCUGCACACGCGACGGAAGCAUAAAAGACGGAGUGACUUCUCCCGUUUUCCCAACAUUUACCUUUACUGCUCUGCUCCUAUUGACCAUAGCGUGAUGAAGAGUAUCCUAUAACCUGCCCAGGAGUACAGAGAAUCAUUGUACCAAGUUUCGUUGAAAUCCGUCAAGUAGUUUUCGUUCCCAUAACGAACAUACAGACAGACAGAUAGACAGACAGACAAAAAUUUUACUGAUUGCAUUUUUGGCAUCAGUAUCGAUCACUAAUCAAUCACCCCCUAAUAGUUAUUUUGGAAAUAUAUUCAAUGUACAGAAUUGACCUCUCUUCAGAUUUAUUAUAAGUAUAGAUAAAACAACAAGAUUUGAUAGUUUAUUUGCAGCAGUUGCAGGAAAUGCGCGCGAUGCGCAUCUAUCGACUGGCGGUUGAAGACUAGUGGUGGCACGGUGGCGGCGGAGAUGCGAGCGACAAGCAUAUCUACGCACCAUUCCCGGCCGUCGUGAAUAUAGUCGAGGGCGACCAUUGUGCAGAAUGGCCGUGUCGGCGCGGAUGAAUAAGGUUAUGAAAACACGUGCGCCGCACGUUGGAAGUGACGUAAUCGCACCACUCUGUGAGUCAGGCGAGGUGGGGACGGACCGGUCAACGUGUAUAUAAUGCUACGCCCGCUGCGGCGGAGCGGACUCGGUGUUCGACCUCUGCUCUGUCAACACCUCUUAAUUGUGACGUUAAUCACACCUGAGUCACCUUAUUUGUUUAAUAUUUAACUCUGUAGUUAAAUUAAUACCUUGUGUUUUUAUUGUUUUCUUUUCAUUUUAUUUAAAUUCUAUUUAUUGAUUUGAUAAUGAAUUAGACGUUUAUUAUUUACUUUUACUUAAUGAAUUUAACGUUAAUUGUAAACCUGAUUGACGCUUCUUAAUUUUGUUUCCAUAAACAAUCAAUUUAUUGUUAGUAGCAAUUACUAUUUGUGUUUCAUCAAUUCACUGGUUUGUGUUUUCGCCAAUCCUUAUUUUAUUCAUAAUUUAUUUGGUUGUGAAGUGAAUAAACUUUUAUGAACCUUUGUUAUAA